RNAcentral lists this ribosomal RNA (252 nucleotides) under uncultured bacterium. RNAcentral describes it as "partial 16S ribosomal RNA". It matches the Rfam family "Bacterial small subunit ribosomal RNA", at positions 524 to 776 of the family's 1533-position model. The record is from RNAcentral.
UACGUAGGUCCCGAGCGUUGUCCGGAUUUAUUGGGCGUAAAGCGAGCGCAGGUGGUUUAUUAAGUCUGGUGUAAAAGGCAGUGGCUCAACCAUUGUAUGCAUUGGAAACUGGUAGACUUGAGUGCAGGAGAGGAGAGUGGAAUUCUAUGUGUAGCGGUGAAAUGCGUAGAUAUAUGGAGGAACACCGGUGGCGAAAGCGGCUCUCUGGCCUGUAGCUGACACUGAGGCUCGAAAGCGUGGGGAGCAAACAGG